GCCGCCGCGGUAACACCAGCUCCACGAGUGGUGGGGAUGUUUAUUUGGCCUAAAGCGUCCGUAGCCGGCUCUGUAAAUCUCUCGUUAAAUCCAGCGUCUCAAGCGUUGGGCUGCGAGGGAGACUGCCGAGCUAGAGGGUGGGAGAGGUCAGCGGUAUUUCUGGGGUAGGGGCGAAAUCCAUUGAUCCCAGGAGGACCACCAGUGGCGAAGGCUGCUGACUAGAACACGCCUGACGGUCAGGGACGAAAGCUGGGGUAGCGAAUCGGAUUAGAUACCCGAGUAGUCCCAGCCGUAAACGAUGCAGGCUAGGUGUUGGGGCAGCCACGUGCUGCCUCAGUGCCACAGGGAAGCCAUUAAGCCUGCCGCCUGGGGAGUACGGCCGCAAGGCUGAAACUUAAAGGAAUUGGCGGGGGAGCACCACCAGGCGUGAAGCCUGCGGUUUAAUUGGAGUCACGCCCGGAACCUUACCGGGAGCGACAGUAGAGUGAAAGCCAGUUGA
RNAcentral lists this ribosomal RNA (499 nucleotides) under uncultured marine group III euryarchaeote. Its description in RNAcentral is "bacterial SSU rRNA". It matches the Rfam family "Archaeal small subunit ribosomal RNA", at positions 461 to 961 of the family's 1478-position model. The record is from RNAcentral. Lineage: Archaea; Methanobacteriati; Thermoplasmatota; Thermoplasmata; Candidatus Thermoprofundales.